UACGGGAGGCAGCAGCCUACGGGAGGCAGCAGUGGGGAAUCUUAGACAAUGGGCGCAAGCCUGAUCUAGCCAUGCCGCGUGAGUGAUGAAGGCCUUAGGGUCGUAAAGCUCUUUCGCCAGAGAUGAUAAUGACAGUAUCUGGUAAAGAAACCCCGGCUAACUCCGUGCCAGCAGCCGCGGUAAUACGGAGGGGGUUAGCGUUGUUCGGAAUUACUGGGCGUAAAGCGCACGUAGGCGGAUCAGAAAGUUGGGGGUGAAAUCCCAGGGCUCAACCCUGGAACGGCCUCCAAAACUCCUGGUCUUGAGUUCGAGAGAGGUGAGUGGAAUUCCGAGUGUAGAGGUGAAAUUCGUAGAUAUUCGGAGGAACACCAGUGGCGAAGGCGGCUCACUGGCUCGAUACUGACGCUGAGGUGCGAAAGUGUGGGGAGCAAACAGGAUUAGAUACCCUG
This 449-nucleotide ribosomal RNA is filed under the name uncultured marine bacterium. RNAcentral describes it as "bacterial SSU rRNA". It matches the Rfam family "Bacterial small subunit ribosomal RNA", at positions 323 to 789 of the family's 1533-position model. The record is from RNAcentral.